Molecule: ribosomal RNA, 660 nt
Filed under: uncultured euryarchaeote
Lineage: Archaea; Methanobacteriati; Methanobacteriota
Description: bacterial SSU rRNA
Rfam family: Archaeal small subunit ribosomal RNA
Source: RNAcentral
GAAUGCUAUUUGAACAUGCAUUCUCUCAAAGGUGACGCAUAAGGAUGAGUCGGCGGCGGAUUAGAUUGUUGGUGAGGUAACGGCUCACCAAGUCGAAGAUCUGUAGGGGCCUUGAGAGAGGGAGCCCCGAGAAGAGCACUGAGAUACUGGCUCUAGCCCUACGGGGUGCAGCAGGCGCGAAACCUCUACAAUGCACUAACGUGUGAUAGGGGGACCCAGAGUGCUUCACAUUGUGAGGCUUUUGCCAAGCGUAAAUAGCUUGGCGAAUAAGUGGUGGGUAAGACUGGUGCCAGCCGCCGCGGUAACACCAGCGCCACGAGUGGCAACUAUGAUUAUUGGGCCUAAAGCGUCCGUAGCCGGUUUGAUAAAUCUCUUGUGAAAUUGUUGCGCCCAACGCAACAGCGUGCAGGAGAGACUGUCAAACUUGGGACUGGGAAGAGUUAGGAGUAUUUUUGGGGUAGCGGUAAAAUGCUAUAAUCCCAAAGAGACUACCGGUGGCGAAGGCGCCUAACUAGAACAGAUCCGACGGUGAGGGACGAAAGCCAGGGUAGCAAACCGGAUUAGAUACCCGAGUAGUCCUGGCCGUAAACGCUGCGAGCAAGAUGUUGCAUAUUCUUCGUGAAUAUGCAGUAUCGAAGAGAAGUCGUUAAGCUCGCCGCC